CCCCCAGCGGAAAAAUGGCCAAAAAACGGGUGGGCUAUAGCCUUGGUGGGGGGCGUGGGCGAAGUUCGUCCGCCGGACUCGGAAUGGCCCCAGACUUUACGGGCGGCCUCCGUGUGCCAAAAAUAGGCCACGGGCACAGCCGCGCCCAAAAAUCAGCCCCCGAAGGUCGGGGUGCCAACACCCCCCAGCGGAAAAAUGGCCAAAAAACGGGUGGGCUAUAGCCUUGGUGGGGGGCGUGGGCGAAGUUCGUCCGCCGGACUCGGAAUGGCCCCAGACUUUGCGGGCGUCGUCCAUGUGCCAAAAAUAGGCCACGGGCACAGCCGCGCCCAAAAAUCAGCCCCCGAAGGUCGGGGUGCCAACACCCCCCAGCGGAAAAAUGGCCAAAAAACGGGUGGGCUAUAGCCUUGGUGGGGGGCGUGGGCGAAGUACGUCCGCCGGACUCGGAAUGGCCCCAGACUUUGCGGGCGGCCUCCGUGUGCCAAAAACAGGCCACGGGCACACCCGCGCCCAAAAAUCAGCCCCCGAAGGUCGGGGCGCCAAGACCCCCUAGCGGAAAAAUGGCAAAAAAAACGGGUGGGCGGGCUAUAGCCUUGGUGGGGGGCGUGGGCGAAGUUCGUCCGCCGGACUCGGAAUGGCCCCAGACUUUGCGGGCGGCCUCCGUGUGCCAAAAACAGGCCACGGGCACACCCGCGCCCAAAAAUCAGCCCCCGAAGUUCGGGGCGCCAAGACCCCGCAGCGGAAAAAUGGCCAAAAAACGGGUGGGCGGACUAUAGCCUUGGUGGGGGGCGUGGGCGAAGUUCGUCCGCCGGACUCGGAAUGGCCCCAGAAUUUGCGGGCGGCCUCCGUGUGCCAAAAAUAGGCCACGGGCACAGCCGCGCCCAAAAAUCAGCCCCCGAAGGUCGGGGCGCCAAGACCCCCCAGCGGAAAAAUGGCCAAAAAACGGGUGGGCUAUAGCCUUGGUGGGGGGCGUGGGCGAAGUUCGUCCGCCGGACUCGGAAUGGCCCCAGACGUUGCGGGCGGCCUCCGUGUGCCAAAAAUAGGCCACGGGCACAGCCGCGCCCAAAAAUCAGCCCCCGAAGGUCGGGGUGCCAACACCCCCCAGCUGAAAAAUGGCCAAAAAACGGGGGGCUAUAGCCUUGGUGGGGGGCGUGGGCGAAGUUCGUCCGCCGGACUUGGAAUGGCCCCAGACGUUGCGGGCGGCCUCCGUGUGCCAAAAAUAGGCCACGGGCACAGCCGCGCCCAAAAAUCAGCCCCCGAAGGUCGGGGUGCCAACACCCCCCAGCGGAAAAAUGGCCAAAAAACGGGUGGGCUAUAGCCUUGGUGGGGGGCGUGGGCGAAGUUCGUCCGCCGGACUCGGAAUGGCCCCAGACGUUGCGGGCGUCGUCCAUGUGCCAAAAAUAGGCCACGGGCACAGCCGCGCCCAAAAAUCAGCCCCCGAAGGUCGGGGUGCCAACACCCCCCAGCGGAAAAAUGGCCAAAAAACGGGUGGGCUAUAGCCUUGGUGGGGGGCGUGGGCGAAGUACGUCCGCCGGACUCGGAAUGGCCCCAGACUUUGCGGGCGGCCUCCGUGUGCCAAAAACAGGCCACGGGCACACCCGCGCCCAAAAAUCAGCCCCCGAAGGUCGGGGCGCCAAGACCCCCUAGCGGAAAAAUGGCAAAAAAAACGGGUGGGCGGGCUAUAGCCUUGGUGGGGGGCGUGGGCGAAGUUCGUCCGCCGGACUCGGAAUGGCCCCAGACUUUGCGGGCGGCCUCCGUGUGCCAAAAACAGGCCACGGGCACACCCGCGCCCAAAAAUCAGCCCCCGAAGUUCGGGGCGCCAAGACCCCGCAGCGGAAAAAUGGCCAAAAAACGGGUGGGCGGACUAUAGCCUUGGUGGGGGGCGUGGGCGAAGUUCGUCCGCCGGACUCGGAAUGGCCCCAGAAUUUGCGGGCGGCCUCCGUGUGCCAAAAAUAGGCCACGGGCACAGCCGCGCCCAAAAAUCAGCCCCCGAAGGUCGGGGUGCCAACACCCCCCAGCGGAAAAAUGGCCAAAAAACGGGUGGGCUAUAGCCUUGGUGGGGGGCGUGGGCGAAGUUCGUCCGCCGGACUCGGAAUGGCCCCAGACUUUGCGGGCGGCCUCCGUGUGCCAAAAAUAGGCCACGGGCACAGCCGCGCCCAAAAAUCAGCCCCCGAAGGUCGGGGUGCCAACACCCCCCAGCGGAAAAAUGGCCAAAAAACGGGUGGGCUAUAGCCUUGGUGGGGGGCGUGGGCGAAGUUCGUCCGCCGGACUCGGAAUGGCCCCAGACUUUGCGGGCGGCCUCCGUGUGCCAAAAAUAGGCCACGGGCACAGCCGCGCCCAAAAAUCAGCCCCCGAAGGUCGGGGUGCCAACACCCCCCAGCGGAAAAAUGGCCAAAAAACGGGUGGGCUAUAGCCUUGGUGGGGGGCGUGGGCGAAGUUCGUCCGCCGGACUCGGAAUGGCCCCAGACUUUGCGGGCGGCCUCCGUGUGCCAAAAAUAGGCCACGGGCACAGCCGCGCCCAAAAAUCAGCCCCCGAAGGUCGGGGUGCCAACACCCCCCAGCGGAAAAAUGGCCAAAAAACGGGUGGGCUAUAGCCUUGUGGGGGGGCGUGGCAGAAGUUCGUCCGCCGGACUCCGAAUGGCCCCAGACUUUGCGGGCGGCCUCCGUGUGCCAAAAACAGGCCAGGGGCACACCCGCGCCCAAAAAUCAGCCCCCGAAGGUCGGGGCGCCAAGACCCCCUAGCGGAAAAAUGGCAAAAAAAACGGGUGGGCGGGCUAUAGCCUUGGUGGGGGGCGUGGGCGAAGUUCGUCCGCCGGACUCGGAAUGGCCCCAGACUUUGCGGGCGGCCUCCGUGUGCCAAAAACAGGCCACGGGCACACCCGCGCCCAAAAAUCAGCCCCCGAAGUUCGGGGCGCCAAGACCCCGCAGCGGAAAAAUGGCCAAAAAACGGGUGGGCGGACUAUAGCCUUGGUGGGGGGCGUGGGCGAAGUUCGUCCGCCGGACUCGGAAUGGCCCCAGAAUUUGCGGGCGGCCUCCGUGUGCCAAAAAUAGGCCACGGGCACAGCCGCGCCCAAAAAUCAGCCCCCGAAGGUCGGGGCGCCAAGACCCCCCAGCGGAAAAAUGGCCAAAAAACGGGUGGGCUAUAGCCUUGGUGGGGGGCGUGGGCGAAGUUCGUCCGCCGGACUCGGAAUGGCCCCAGACGUUGCGGGCGGCCUCCGUGUGCCAAAAAUAGGCCACGGGCACAGCCGCGCCCAAAAAUCAGCCCCCGAAGGUCGGGGUGCCAACACCCCCCAGCUGAAAAAUGGCCAAAAAACGGGGGGCUAUAGCCUUGGUGGGGGGCGUGGGCGAAGUUCGUCCGCCGGACUUGGAAUGGCCCCAGACGUUGCGGGCGGCCUCCGUGUGCCAAAAAUAGGCCACGGGCACAGCCGCGCCCAAAAAUCAGCCCCCGAAGGUCGGGGUGCCAACACCCCCCAGCGGAAAAAUGGCCAAAAAACGGGUGGGCUAUAGCCUUGGUGGGGGGCGUGGGCGAAGUUCGUCCGCCGGACUCGGAAUGGCCCCAGACUUUGCGGGCGGCUUCCGUGUGCCAAAAAUAGGCCACGGGCAGAGCCGCGCCCAAAAAUCAGCCCCCGAAGGUCGGGGUGCCAAGACCCCCCAGCGGAAAAAUGGCCAAAAAACGGGUGGGCUAUAGCCUUGGUGGGGGGCGUGGGCGAAGUUCGUCCGCCGGACUCGGAAUGGCCCCAGACGUUGCGGGCGGCCUC
This 3755-nucleotide long non-coding RNA is filed under the name Citrus x clementina. Its description in RNAcentral is "Citrus clementina (C. clementina) long non-coding RNA (CCLE_LNC001697)". The record is from RNAcentral. Lineage: Eukaryota; Viridiplantae; Streptophyta; Magnoliopsida; Sapindales; Rutaceae.